Molecule: small nuclear RNA, 140 nt
Organism: Suricata suricatta (meerkat)
Lineage: Eukaryota; Metazoa; Chordata; Mammalia; Carnivora; Herpestidae
Gene: U4
Rfam family: U4 spliceosomal RNA
About the family: U4 small nuclear RNA (U4 snRNA) is a component of the major U2-dependent spliceosome. The structure of U4 snRNA from yeast and human has been reported. U4 snRNA presents a k-turn RNA motif in the 5p-SL related to recognition of Snu13 protein.
Source: Ensembl
AGCUUUGUAACAGUGGCAGUAUCAUAGCCAAUGAGGUUUAUCUGAGGCACGAUUACUGCUAAUUGAAAACUUUUCCCAAUAUCUGGCCGGGAUGAUUUGAAAUAUACUCGGCAUUGGCAAUUUUUGGAAAAAAGUAAUUA